Molecule: RNA transcript, 2766 nt
Organism: Spinacia oleracea (spinach)
Lineage: Eukaryota; Viridiplantae; Streptophyta; Magnoliopsida; Caryophyllales; Amaranthaceae
Gene name: tyrosyl-DNA phosphodiesterase 1
Exons: 18
Source: RefSeq, a predicted model, not a curated record
ACGUACAAAAAAUAAACCGGCCUGCUUCUGAAAGAAAGGCGCGGAAAUAACGUAACUGAAGAAUUUUCCUUGUAAAUGCGAUUAAAUUAUUAAAAGCUUGCCACUGCACCGGCAAAGCGGCAACUGAGUAAUUUCAAGUUCUGAGGCUGUACUAUUCUCUCUCUUAGGGUUCCAUUAUCUCUUCUCUCCACUCGCAUGCUUUCGGAGCUUCUUCAAUGGCGUCUUCUCAGAUAGGAAUUCUGGUUCCGUUGAACAAGAACCUGGAGAAGGAGAAAUCGUUGCCGGAAUUUCCGAUUUCUGAAGGUGAUAAUGUGAUAGGGCGUAAUAAUGUUCCGGUGACUGAUAAAAGACUCAGUCGCAAGCACCUCAUUUUGUCCGCUUCAUCUGGUGGCUCUACUGAUUUGCGUGUGGAAGGAAUGAAUCCUGUGGUGAUUAAUUCUGGUGAUCAGAGGAAGUUACUGAAUUCUGGGGAAAAAGUUACAUUUAGAAAUGGUGAUAUCUUGGAGUUGAUUCCAGGGAGUCACUAUUUCAAGUAUGAAAUUUUAAGUAAUCAGAGAAACCCCGGCGCUGUUAGCAAAAGGAGUGAAGAUGUUAGUGAAUGUACAAAUGUUGGAGAUGGCAGGAAGAGAGCACGAGAAGACUUGAAUGCUGGAGCUUCUACAGAACAGUCAACGCUUCCGCAUGGAAUUGGGAGAAAAUUAAAAGAAAAUAUAGAUAAUGUAAGUGUUGAAUCAAAAAAACAAAAUCUUUCAGUCUCUGGGAAUAGCGAGGAGGCGAUACGUCAUUUCCAUGUAUCCGAUGAUGUAUUGCCUUUAACCUUUCGUCUUAUGAAAGUACAAGGGUUACCAGAAUGGGCGAACACCUCUUGUGUAUCUAUUGACAAUGUGAUUGAGGGGGAUGUGCUUGUUGCUGUACUUUCAAAUUACAUGGUGGACAUAGACUGGUUGUUAUCUGCAUGCCCAAUGCUUAAAAAAGUUCCUCAGGUGCUAGUUGUUCAUGGAGAAAGUGACGGUACCGCUGAUUACAUGAAGAGGAACAAACCCAGCAAUUGGAUUUUACACAAACCCCCAUUACCCAUCGCGUACGGGACACACCAUUCGAAGGCUAUGCUUCUUGUGUAUCCUCGAGGAGUGAGGGUCAUUGUGCAUACAGCAAACUUGAUUAAUGUCGAUUGGAAUAAUAAAAGUCAAGGCUUGUGGAUGCAAGAUUUCCCUUGGAAAGAUCAGAAUGAGGCAAGCAAGGGGUGUCCAUUUGAAAGUGAUCUUAUUGAUUAUCUACAAGCUCUAAAGUUGCCUGAAUUUACUGCCAAUUUUCCAGCCCUUGGCAGACUGAAAAUUGAUGCUUCCUUCUUUAAGAAGUUCAAUUAUGGAAAUGCCGCGGUCAGAUUAAUUGCAUCUGUUCCAGGAUAUCAUUCUGGGUCUAAUUUAAAGAAGUGGGGUCACAUGAAGCUACGCUCUAUCCUAGAGCAAUGUACUUUCGAUGAUGAGUUUAAGAAAUCGCCACUAAUUUAUCAGUUUUCCUCUCUUGGUUCACUGGAUGAGAAGUGGAUGACUGAACUAAGAACUUCAUUGUCAUCUGGCUUGUCAGCUGAUAAAUCCGCCCUAGGUUUGGGCGAACCACGGAUCAUAUGGCCUACCGUGGAAGAUGUGAGAUGGUCACUGGAGGGUUAUGCAGCUGGAAAUGCUGUCCCAAGUCCAAUUAAAAAUGUGGAGAAGGAAUUUCUGAAGAAAUACUGGGCAAAGUGGAAGGCUACUCACACGGGUCGCUGCCGUGCAAUGCCCCAUAUAAAGACAUUUGUUCGUUAUAAUGGUCAAAAUAUCGCUUGGUUCUUGCUAACUUCAUCAAACCUCAGCAAAGCUGCUUGGGGAGCCCUUCAAAAGAAUAACUCUCAAUUGAUGAUACGUUCCUAUGAGCUUGGCGUGCUGUUUUUGCCUACUGUUGUCAAAAAUGGUUUUGGAUUUUCUUGCACGAAGGAUAAGAGCUCUUGUAAGGAUACAAGUGGAUCAAUGGCAAAUUCUAGAAAUCGGAAGAUUAAACUAGUUUCACUGACUUGGCCAGGAAGAGAUGAUCAUGAUGAUUCUAACUCUGAAGUAGUUCCUCUUCCUGUGCCUUACGAACUUCCUCCAAAGUUGUACUCUUCUCAGGAUGUUCCGUGGUCGUGGGAACGUCAAUACAGACAAAAGGAUGUGUAUGGUCAAGUUUGGCCCAGGCAGGUGUAGCUUUAUUCCACUCAAGACACCAAAAGUGGCAUCAAACUGCAUCUACCCGUGCUCUGACAUUGUGAAACUACAGAAUUCUUCCGAAAGAAAUAAGAUGAAGGACCCUACGCCCCUACCGGUCUGGAAUUCCUCUUGGGUUAACCCGGCCCGAGGUACUUACUUUGGGAGGAGGAGGGAAGGAUAAGGGGAAACUCUCCUCCAAAGUUAAAUCUUUUGAAGUGUACAAGGGUCAAAAUUUAAUUAACUUGACCCGGGUCGCAUAUGUGACCUAAGGUCAAGUGCAUUAAAAUUGGAGGUGGGACCGACUUCUGCUCCACUUGCGAUUACAUCGGCUGUUUGCAUGCAAAUAUUUGAUGUAAUUUGUACCGUGAUUAUAUACUGUAUGCAUGUAACAAAUAUUUCAAGUUGUUGAGCUCAUGUGAACCUGCCACGAAUGCAAGCAUGUAAUUAAUUUUUUUAUUUUUUUUUUGUUUUUCAUUUUGCAUGAUAACAAUCCAGUUAUGUAUAAAUUUUACUUCAUUGUGUUAUAUAUGUAUGUUUAAGAUUA